AGUGAACGCUGGCGGUAGGCCUAACACAUGCAAGUCGAACGGCAGCACAGUAAGAGCUUGCUCUUACGGGUGGCGAGUGGCGGACGGGUGAGGAAUACAUCGGAAUCUACUUUUUCGUGGGGGAUAACGUAGGGAAACUUACGCUAAUACCGCAUACGACCUACGGGUGAAAGUAGGGGAUCUUCGGACCUUGCGCGAUUGAAUGAGCCGAUGUCGGAUUAGCUAGUUGGCGGGGUAAAGGCCCACCAAGGCGACGAUCCGUAGCUGGUCUGAGAGGAUGAUCAGCCACACUGGAACUGAGACACGGUCCAGACUCCUACGGGAGGCAGCAGUGGGGAAUAUUGGACAAUGGGCGCAAGCCUGAUCCAGCCAUACCGCGUGGGUGAAGAAGGCCUUCGGGUUGUAAAGCCCUUUUGUUGGGAAAGAAAAGCAGCAGGUUAAUACCCCGCUGUUCUGACGGUACCCAAAGAAUAAGCACCGGCUAACUUCGCG
Molecule: ribosomal RNA, 492 nt
Filed under: uncultured bacterium
Lineage: Bacteria
Description: partial 16S ribosomal RNA
Rfam family: Bacterial small subunit ribosomal RNA
Source: RNAcentral